UUUUUUUUUUUUCACACAUGACCCAACUCAUCUUCAGAGAUUAUAUAAGUGUUGCGCAAGACUUAUGAGACUAUGAGGAAGAAGUAUUCCUACUUGCAUCAUGGAAAGGUAGAGCUGAAAGACUCAAUCAAGAUUGUGGCAAAGAGAGAGAAGAAUUUGCAGUUGCUGAAGACCAGGUCAACAGAGACACAGGAGGAUUAUGUGGACAUGAUGUCUGAUGAAAAAAAUGGUGUUGUUAAUGGGAGCCCUGUGUGGGUUGUAAAA
This is a long non-coding RNA of Myxocyprinus asiaticus (Chinese sucker), 264 nucleotides long. RefSeq lists it as uncharacterized. The record is from RefSeq and is a predicted model, not a curated record. The transcript has 3 exons. NCBI's taxonomy places the organism in Eukaryota, Metazoa, Chordata, Actinopteri, Cypriniformes, Catostomidae.